RNAcentral lists this small RNA (238 nucleotides) under Arabidopsis thaliana (thale cress). RNAcentral's name for it is "ATSL052620". Lineage: Eukaryota; Viridiplantae; Streptophyta; Magnoliopsida; Brassicales; Brassicaceae. The record is from RNAcentral.
UCUCACCACUAGUUACUAGUUAGUUAAUGUAUAUUAGAAACUAGAUAAUGCCCGCCUAAAUAGGCGAGUGUAAGAUACAAAAAUAAAUUAUUUAGGCGGGUGUAAUCAUAAGUUAAAUUUUUAAUGACACAUGUAAAAAUCCGAUCGUUUGACUUGACACGUGGCACGAUCCUAUAAAUUAGUAACUUUGAAAACCAUACUUUAUAUAAUAAGAUAUAAGACCAUCUUAAUAUUAUAC